RNAcentral lists this ribosomal RNA (253 nucleotides) under uncultured bacterium. RNAcentral's name for it is "partial 16S ribosomal RNA". It matches the Rfam family "Bacterial small subunit ribosomal RNA", at positions 524 to 776 of the family's 1533-position model. The record is from RNAcentral.
UACGGAGGAUGCGAGCGUUAUCCGGAAUCAUCGGGUUUAAAGGGUCUGUAGGCGGGCCUAUAAGUCAGAGGUGAAAGCGCUUAGCUCAACUAAGCAACUGCCUUUGAAACUGUAGGUCUUGAAUGGUUGUGAAGUAGUUGGAAUGUGUAGUGUAGCGGUGAAAUGCUUAGAUAUUACACAGAACACCGAUAGCGAAGGCAUAUUACUAACAAUUGAUUGACGCUGAUGGACGAAAGCGUGGGGAGCGAACAGG